This 2760-nucleotide long non-coding RNA is filed under the name Cotesia glomerata. RNAcentral's name for it is "uncharacterized LOC123266674, transcript variant X2". The record is from RNAcentral. Lineage: Eukaryota; Metazoa; Arthropoda; Insecta; Hymenoptera; Braconidae.
UGUUAUGGGUUAUAGCUCAUGGUUGCGUGCGACUUGUUAUUACGAUGUUUAAACCGACAUGAGGAUUGAGAAAAGACGAACCAUAUAAUAUCUACAACCACCUAUCUCACGGUGUGACUCUACUCUAAGAAAGACUACUCAAGUUUAAGCGAAUAAACUCACCAACUCACGAUCUUCUCAGGUUCUCAAGUGAAACAUAAAAAUAGGAAGAAACAAAAACGAAAACCGUCUUCAGUCUCUGAUCUCAAGUUUAUCCUAAGUAUUCUUCAGUCCUUUUAUAUUUCUUCAUAAACUCGUAAGUAUCAGUAGUGUAGUUUUCGUUAGUAGUCUUCGUUGUUAAAUCUCUAAUAUAUAUCAAGUAUUUCUUCUUAUCAUCUACUUUUAAUGCAACCACAGACUCAAUAAAAAUUCUACGAAACGAUACUGAUACAACUAAAAAAUAAAAAGGUUAUAAUAUCAACAAGAUACUGAUAAAAUGUAUAGUAAUAAAGAUACUAAAUAUAUUGUAUAUAUUACUUUACUAAGCAGAAAAAGUGUCCAGUGCACUGUAUACGGAUAGCUGAAUAAAAAAUUGCUAGAGUGAUCGAAGGUCAACUCGAGCACACACUGGUCCAUAGCAGCGGGGGGAAAACGGGACACCACAACUGAACACCAUUCACGAUACGACGACGACGACGACGACGACGGUGAAGACGACGACGAGACGCUAGCCAACCGAGCGGUAACUGACCUACGACGAUUCGUUCACCCCAACAACUAAUAUCAUCGUACAUAUCAUGUUGUCUCCCUAACUCGCGGACACGCGAAAGAAUCAAUCCUACACCCACGCACUUUAAUUAAAUCUAACUCACUUAAAACUUACUAUUCGUAGUUUUUUUCCUUUCUUCUUUUUCUUCUUCUGCCUCUUCUCAAUCUUAUACUGUUUUUCUUAUUAUUUCUUCUUUUUGUAAUCGUCGAGUAACUCGUAUUAUAUCACUGGGUCUUUAAUAAAUAAUAAAUAAACGUGAAGAAGGUGACUGUUGACAAAGAACACGAAAUGACAACCGGCGACUACCGCGACAGAGACGGCAAUGGCCCCGUGACGGUGGUUUUAACACUCGCCAUGCCAAAGCCAAACCCGUUCGCGUUAGUCUUCUCCCCACUCUCGAAUCUUUUUCAGUAUCCCCUCUCUUUACUCUUUACUCUAUACGCUUGUACUUGUACUUCACUUAACUGAACUCUCAAUAUAAUACAAAAUACAUACAACACAGAACACAACCAAGUCAAUAUAGACAUGCCAGUGUGUUUUGAUGGUGUUACUUCUUAUUCCUGCCGACUUAACAUCGGUGUGGUUGGCGCUAGCGUCUUGUCGCGCGGGAACCACACGGGAGAACCGGUAAAUCUUUCGCAUGAAGAGGAAAUGCCAACGAACUCUUACUCGUCUGCACACUCUUUUCUUCUCUUCCUCAUCUUUGUUGGUUAGGUUAGAGUGUAGAGUUUGUAACACGAUACUAGAUAGGAGCUUCGAACUUUAAGAGAACGUCAGCUGAUGAUAAAUUCGCUCUCAGUAUCGACGAUGCGGACGCGGUUGGCUGGAAGUUAGAAGGACAUCGUAUCGUGGUUAACCCAUUUAACCAUCGAACGUUCCACUCCCUUGUCCUUGCUCCCAUAAUACUGACGGAAGUGUCAAAGCUGGCAAAGUUAUUCUUGCGUUGGUACUGAGACUGGUACUGGUGCUUAUAUAUCAGCAACGAUAAUAAAAAAAAGACAUUUAAACUGAGUAUUAAUAUAUGCACUGUGCAAAUACGAACGAUGAAUUGACGACGAUUCCAUUCCGCAAUUAAAAUGCACUUGGUCGUUAAACAAUGCCGGGAAAAAGAAAUAAAAGUUGUGAGCCGAUGUGUUUAUCCUCGGACGCUCUUCGUGCCAUUCUGCCACCUGGAGGUAAACUUUUAUAUCAGUACGGGUUUAAAGAAGAAAAUAAAAGUAUUAACAAAAUCCUAUCCGGUGCAUAGCAGUUGGAGGGUGGAUACGAAGGAAGGAUGUGAGUUGUAAGUAUAUGCUCGGAUAUAAUACUUAUAUAUACUUGCAACGAUGCUAUGUAUAGAUGUAUUGAGUUAUAAGUUUAAAUUUAACUCGUCAUUGAGUUUCAUCGAUUCGAUAAUCGUAUCAAUUCACGAAAACUUUCACCCAAUCUUGUAUGGUACGCCCGGAAGAAAGUGUAACUCGAUCUCCAGUACAUUCUCAAAGACACUUUUUUAAUAUAUACGUACAUAUAUAGUGUUGUCUUUUCUUGUCUUCACUUAUUGUUCAUUUGCACAUGUUAUUAUACACAUGCAACAUGAAAGAUAGAGACGAAGAGUAAUGAUGAUGGCAAAACAAAAAGAAUAUAAAAAGUUGAGUAAAAAAUUGCAAAAUGUGCGUUUCUGCUGGAUGAUGGAGUAGUUGGACAACGUGCUUAUUAUGUCGAGGCAAUAAUACCAGCUCCGAAGUAUACUCUGGACGUGAUUAAACACCCGUAUAAUAAUCGACCCUGCGAUCAUUGAAUUAUUGAAUUAGUGGUUGAUCGAACAAGCAAAGGAAAGUCAGACUCAGAUACAGAGAUCAUGCAUCGAACACAGCACCCACGAGUAUGCGUGUCUUGCGCUUGGGAAAGCUUUCAUGCAUCCUGAGCUCAGAAAAAUUAUUCAGCGUGACGACCGGAAUGUUGACUUACCAUAUUGGAGACAGUACUCUUGACUUGGGCGAGUAAUUGUGAGGCAGGAGACAGAUAAGACUCGA